Molecule: long non-coding RNA, 331 nt
Filed under: Gossypium barbadense (sea-island cotton)
Lineage: Eukaryota; Viridiplantae; Streptophyta; Magnoliopsida; Malvales; Malvaceae
Description: long non-coding RNA (GBAR_LNC021142)
Source: RNAcentral
UCACAUUCAGUCUAACCAUGCUGCUAAUUGCUAUUUUGCCUACAAUGCUGAAAGGUGUUGCUCAUUCCUACCUCCAUGGAAUAAGCUAUAGACCAGUCCCAGCCAAUCAGAGGCUCUGAUCUGAAUCAGCUAACUUGUCAAUAACCAACCAAAAGUACAACACUAUUUCCAAAUCUAAGAAGGCAAUUAGCAAGCACUUGCAACACAAACUGAGUUGGGGCCAUCUUCAGUUGCUGUAACUGAUCCAUUCUCUUGUACGGGUUUCACAUCGACAUUAGCCUUUACUACUUCUGUUGUUGAUGCAACAGUUGGUUCUUUUAUCAAGGCUGAC